GGCCCACUGGCGCGUGGCGCGCCGCUGUAUUCUCUUAGAUCGAAUCAAAUGUUCAAGUAAUGCAGCGACCCUGUUCGAUUCAGGGGUGGGCCA
Mycena galericulata is the source of this 93-nucleotide non-coding RNA. The record is from the annotation of a GenBank genome assembly. NCBI's taxonomy places the organism in Eukaryota, Fungi, Basidiomycota, Agaricomycetes, Agaricales, Mycenaceae.